GGCGAAGGAUGUUUGUGAGUUCGUGGCUGCCUGCUCUGUCUGUGCCAGGAGCAAAGCUUCCCAUCGUCCUCCUGCUGGUCUGCUGCGUCCUUUACCUAUUCCCAGUCGCCCUUGGUCACAUAUUGCCGUGGAUUUCGUCACCGGGUUACCCCUAUCCGAAGCCCAGGAGGAGGAGGUGGCAGUCUCUUCAGUAGACGAGCAUCUUCGGAGGAUUCGGGAAGUUUGGAGUAAUGUGAAGGCGGCACUCACUCGCUCUGCC
This is a long non-coding RNA of Gasterosteus aculeatus aculeatus (three-spined stickleback), 259 nucleotides long. Lineage: Eukaryota; Metazoa; Chordata; Actinopteri; Perciformes; Gasterosteidae. The record is from Ensembl.